UAUUAAAGUUGUUGCGGUUAAAAAGCUCGUAGUUGAAUCUGUGUCUCGCGCUGUCGGUUCACCGCCCGCGGUGUCAAACUGGCACGCUCGCGAGACGUCCUGCCGGUGGGACGACGUCGACCGUGGUGCGGCGCCGCGAGGCGCUCGCGCCCGGCCGGCCAGUCCCGACUCACGAUCCUGUCGCGGUGCUCUUCGCUGAGUGUCGAGGCGGGCCGGCACGUUUACUUUGAACAAAUUAGAGUGCUCAAAGCAGGCUAAAACUUCGCCUGAAUACUGUGUGCAUGGAAUAAUGGAACAGGACCUCGGUUCUAUUUUGUUGGUUUUCGGAACCCCGAGGUAAUGAUUAAUAGGGACAGAUGGGGGCAUUCGUAUUGCGACGUUAGAGGUGAAAUUCUUGGACGUCGCAAGACGGACAGAAGCGAAAGCAUUUGCCAAAAAUGUUUUCAUUAAUCAAGAACGAAAGUCAGAGGUUCGAAGGCGAUCAGAUACCGCCCUAGUUCUGACCAUAAACGAUGCCAGCUAGCGAUCCGCCGACGUUCCUCCGAUGACUCGGCGGGCAGCUUACGGGAAACCAAAGCUUUUGGGUUCCGGGGGAAGUAUGGUUGCAAAGCUGAAACUUAAAGGAAUUGACGGAAGGGCACCACCAGGAGUGGAGCCUGCGGCUUAAUUUGACUCAACACGGGAAACCUCACCAGGCCCGGACACCGGAAGGAUUGACAGAUUGAGAGCUCUUUCUUGAUUCGGUGGGUGGUGGUGCAUGGCCGUUCUUAGUUGGUGGACCGAUUUGUCUGGUUAAUUCCGAUAACGAACGAGACU
Molecule: ribosomal RNA, 816 nt
Filed under: Hyphydrus ovatus
Lineage: Eukaryota; Metazoa; Arthropoda; Insecta; Coleoptera; Dytiscidae
Description: SSU rRNA
Rfam family: Eukaryotic small subunit ribosomal RNA
Source: RNAcentral